AGUUGCUAUAGUGAGCCGACUGAAUCCGUCUGCCACGCGGUGUUAGCCCUCCAAGGUGGACGAACCGAGUCCAGUAAGGCGUGAGGCGCGACCCCCCUCCCGGUCCCCGGAAGCGUGACGGUGGCAAUCUCCGUAGCGGCAUCUACAGUAUGCAUCAUGUCGAGUCCGACGAACGAUUGCGAACCCGUCAACGCUCUCGCGGGGACGCGGGGGGCGGCGUCGGCCGCCUCUCAUCGGCCUCUACGUGGGGCCCCCCCGGCUGUCCCCGUCCCAGCCUCUUUGCGGGACGGGCGCCGCCGAACAAGACCCGGGCGCGGUGGGCGCCAAGGAGCAGUGCUGGCGGAGAUCGUCGAGUGCGGCAUCCCUCAGGCGGGGGCGGCGCUCGACGCGAUCCAGCUGUAUACCGUAAACUUUUACGACUCUCGGCAACGGAUAUCUUGGCUCUCGCAUCGAUGAAGAACGUAGCGAAAUGCGAUACUUGGUGUGAAUUGCAGAAUCCCGUGAACCAUCGAGUCUUUGAACGCAAGUUGCGCCCGAGGCUAUCCGGCCGAGGGCACGCCUGCCUGGGCGUCACGCCUCGCGUCGCUCCGCGCUACCCCCCUCUCCCCCACUCGGGCGGCGGCGGUCGCGGAUGCGGAGAUUGGCCCCCCCUGCCUCGCGGCGCGGCGGGUCGAAGUGUGAGCCGCCGGUCGGGUCGGACGCGGCGAGUGGUGGACGGAAACGCACGGCGCUGAACGCCGCGGACCCACGGCCCCAGCGGCGCCAGCCAGGAACCCGCGCCGACGGGCGCCAGCGAGCGCCCUCGGACCACGACCCCAGUCAGACGUUACAU
RNAcentral lists this ribosomal RNA (832 nucleotides) under Drimia wightii. RNAcentral's name for it is "eukaryotic LSU rRNA". The stretch from base 418 to 573 matches the Rfam family "5.8S ribosomal RNA". The record is from RNAcentral. Lineage: Eukaryota; Viridiplantae; Streptophyta; Magnoliopsida; Asparagales; Asparagaceae.